GGCGACAGGGACACCUCGAGGCAUCUGAACAAUAGAGUGAAGAGAGUCAACUCCGUCAAGAGUGCUUCCUUUUACAGGAACGCCGAUUACUGGAAGAGGUGUCAUUGCAGCAACCAUACCAGGCAAAUGAGCGGCACCACCAGCACCAGCAAUAAUCACACGCAACCCUCUUGAAGCUGCGGUACGAGCAUAAGUAACCAUGCGAUCUGGUGUGCGGUGAGCUGAAACAAUAGUAAGUUCGUAAGGCACCUUGAAUUCAUCUAAAAUGACGGCAGCAUCUUUCAUCUUGCUUAAAUCAGAAUCCGAACCCAUGAUAAUACCAACAACAGGUGAUUCGACAGGAUCUUUGACGUCAAGAAGCAUCUGAUACCUACGUUCACAUUCUUGAGGUGAAUCAGAAAUGAUGGUAACGUGUCCCAUCUUGCGACCCUUUCUAGAUUCAGCUUUACCAUAAAGAUGCAAAGUUGCACCGGGAAUGGACAGAGAACGUUUAGCGAUCUUUGAAACAUAAUCAGGAUCAUCAGUACCUAAAAUAUUUACCAUCAACGCAUGAGUUGUGGAAGUCGAGAGUUGGGUGUUGAUUUCGCUGAAAGGAAGACCACAUAUGGCCCGUAAGUGAGCUUCAAACUGAGAAGUUGGGCAAGCUUCAAUGGUGUAGUGACCUGAAUUGUGAGGCCGAGGAGCAAUUUCGUUGAGUAAAAUGGUCUCACCAUCUUGCAAAACAAACAUCUCUACACCAUAUAUACCAGCGCCUUCAAAAGUGCGCACCGCAUCCAUGGCAAGGGUUUGAGCACGCUGUUGAAUUGAGAAGGGAAGACGAGCAGGGGCAUAUACUAAAUGACAAACAUUAUCCUUUUGAAUGGUCUCAGUUGUAGGAUAAGCAUAAACUUUUCCGUCUAAACUGCGUACUACCAUCACUGCAAUUUCCAUGGAGAAAGGAACGAACUUUUCAACAUAAAGCGGACGAUCACCAAGUGCUUUGAUGGCAGUAGGAAUCUCAGAUGGUUGAUGAACAACGUAAUUUCCACGACCGUCGUAAGCCAAUGUUUUACUUUUCAGUACAAAAGGAUAACCAAACUCUUGGCCUGCUUUUUCAACACUUUCCUGGUCAGGUGCAUCGCAAAAUUCAGGAAGUGCAAUCUUAAAAACCUGUAAAUGCUGUUUUUGAAGAUAUUUGUCUUGAAUGCAUCGCAGAGUUGCAGGAGAGGGUUCAACAGCAACAGAUUUCGUAACGGCUGCCAAGGCAUCAGUGUUAAUAUGCUCAAUUUCAGUUGUUAAUAACGUGCACUUCUUAGACAGUUCAACAAUUGCAUCGGGGUCAGUAAAUGAUGCAUCAAUGUGCUCACGUCCUCCAUCAAUUUGUUUGGCAGGAGAAUUUGCUGCAUCCAAGAUGAUGCAUUUGAUGUUUAAGCGAUGGGCUGCCUCUACCAUCAUUCGGCCCAAUUGACCACCUCCAAGGAUCCCUACAACCUGUUUUUCGCUCAUAUUCGAUGAAGUAUGUAUAUACCUUGGCAGCUC
Molecule: non-coding RNA, 1518 nt
Organism: Schizosaccharomyces pombe (fission yeast)
Lineage: Eukaryota; Fungi; Ascomycota; Schizosaccharomycetes; Schizosaccharomycetales; Schizosaccharomycetaceae
Source: the annotation of a GenBank genome assembly